Molecule: long non-coding RNA, 1495 nt
Filed under: Homo sapiens (human)
Lineage: Eukaryota; Metazoa; Chordata; Mammalia; Primates; Hominidae
Description: HSALNT0357144
Source: RNAcentral
GCUCUUAUUUCAUCCAACCUUCACUAUUAAUUGUGUGAUCCUGGAUAAAUCAUGACUUCUCAGGACUUCAGUUCUUUCAUUUGCGAAAUGAAUAAGAGGAUGCCUUCCAGUUCUUUAAUUCUAACUUAAAAUUCUUGACCUCACUGAGCCAAAAAAAAGUACAGAAAUUCUCUACAAAAUAUCCAUAAUAGACUAGUUGGUCCAGUUUUUACAGCAAAAGCAAUUCAGCAUAAUUCUAAGAAGUUACAUUGGCAAGAAAAAAUUCUGGCACUCUUAUUUCUGAUUUGUCUAUUUUAUUUGGGUCUCCGUACAAUAAGGAAUAAAAUGUAACCUUUUUUUCAGUGGGAAAAGACACUUACUUUCUAUUUCAUUAAGUUUUAGAAGCUAAUCCAAAGAGAGGCGACGGAACUCCACCCACUUCAAAAUGUCAAUACUUUUAUAAUAUUUACACACUAGAAUUUAGAACAUCUGAAAAAUCAAAAUGCAAUUUGGAAUAGACUUUUAAUCUAAAAGUACCAUAAUAACAUUUAUUAGUUACAUAGUCAAUAAUAGUCAUUGAAUCCUAAAAAUAAUAUUUUUUCUAGUAAUUAAAAUCUGAAAAAUAUGCCUGCUAAAUUUCAACUUUUGAUGUCUCCUCUAACUUUCAGAAGAAAAUAACAUUCAGGAUUCUGUCUUCUUCACUGACGAAAGGGAAGACAAAAACUAAUACUCUACAUUGAAACUUUGUUAUUUAUCAUGAUCCAGUGGUACACUUAUUUAUAAAUAUAAAUAUAAGGGCCAAACAUUCAAAGAGAAUAGGACCCAAACUUUGUCACUUCAAAUCACAACGUUUGGACAAAAAAAAAAAAAGCAAACAUUCUGCAAACCCUGCUAUCAAUUUGAGUACUGAUAUUUAAAAGUCUUAUUUGUUCUUAUUCAAAGCACUUUUUUUUUGACAUUUGUUUUGCCUGCUGCUCUAAGAUCAGACCAGACAUUCAGUUAACUCUACCCUCCACUGUCCCCGAGUCCUGGUCUAGAUUCUCUGUAGUUCCAAUUUUUUCAGAGAACAAACCCCUCAUCUCGUGGAGUUGGGGAACAUUGCUGUCCAGCUGGAGUGAGGUGAAGACCUGGGAGUUCAGCUGGUCCUUUCACAGACUUUCAGCUGAACAUCUGUUUUUAGCACCAUGCCUCCCUUCCUCCUUCAACCUCCUGAUAUCACUGUCGUCUCCUCUGCAGGUGCUUUGGUUUUGCCCUUCUGGUACUAAGUUACUGUAUCAUAUGCUUUCUGUUUCAGAUUUUAUGGUUUAAGGUAACUGAUGAGAUCUACCUCUGACAAAAAGAGUUGGAAUUUUUGUUUCUAUUUCCUUUGUUUUAUGCUAAGAUUUUAAUAGAAGAAAGCAGGUGGUGGCCAGGCACAGUGGCUUAUGCCUGCAAUCCCAGCACUUUGGGAGGCCAAGGUGGGUGAAUCACGAGGUCAGGAGAUCGAGACCAUCCUGGCUAACAUGGUGAAACCCCG